Molecule: ribosomal RNA, 75 nt
Filed under: Thunnus albacares (yellowfin tuna)
Lineage: Eukaryota; Metazoa; Chordata; Actinopteri; Scombriformes; Scombridae
Source: RNAcentral
UCGGAAGCCAAGCAGGGUCGGGCCUGUUAGUACUUGGACGGGAGACCGCCUGGGAAUACCAGGUGCUGUAAGCUU